GCAAGUCGAGUGCUUUCCUUCGGGAAGGAGCGGCGGACGGGUUAGUAACGCGUGGGAACAUACCCUUCUCUAAGGAAUAGCCUCUGGAAACGGAGAGUAAUACCUUAUACGCCCUUUGGGGGAAAGAUUUAUCGGAGAAGGAUUAGCCCGCGUUAGAUUAGGUAGUUGGUGGGGUAAUGGCCUACCAAGCCUACGAUCUAUAGCUGGUUUGAGAGGAUGAUC
Molecule: ribosomal RNA, 222 nt
Filed under: uncultured bacterium
Lineage: Bacteria
Description: partial 16S ribosomal RNA
Rfam family: Bacterial small subunit ribosomal RNA
Source: RNAcentral